Molecule: long non-coding RNA, 847 nt
Filed under: Numida meleagris (helmeted guineafowl)
Lineage: Eukaryota; Metazoa; Chordata; Aves; Galliformes; Numididae
Description: lncRNA (ENSNMEG00000015865.1)
Source: RNAcentral
GAAAUUAGGAAAUAAAGCAGGAGGAACAAAGCCACCCCAGAAUUAAAAUGCUUAUAGAAAGCAUAAAACUUUUUUUUUUUUUCAGAGUGCAACCCCAGUGUCCCAGCACACAUCCCCGUUGCAGCAGAGCUCAGUGAGGCAGUGGUUGGAGCUUGUCUUGCAGCAGGACGUCUCGGAGGAAUACAGUGCAUCGUGUUCCCAGGCUGCCAGCUCCAUAAUGAAACCAUUUUUCAGGUGGUAGAAAACUGUCCAAGUGGGGGCCCUUCAAGAGAGGAAUGGCGUAGAAUGGAAAAGGAGGCUGCCCUGUGUGAGAGACAUCAGGAAGCCCAGGUCAGGCACCAGCUUCAAGCCCCUCCUGAUGCUGGGGCAACGUGAGCAUGGCCAGGCAGGUGUGUGCCUCUCCUGCACUGACUGCUGAAGGAGCCUGAGUGGUUUUCACCAACAAUUCACAAGGCUGAUAUCACGUGAGCCGUGAAUGGGUGGUAACAGUCCACUGUGCUCCAUGAUCCAGAAACAGGCCAUGGUGCUGCCCUGGGGUAUGGGUCUGCCUCCUCCAGCCCGCAUCCACUCCUGCUUGUCUCAUCAGCCAGGGAACAUCAGGAGCUGUGAGAUUUAUUGCUGCCCUUGUUGGAGUGUUCCUGGUGGACCCCCUAGCACUGCACCACUGCAGCAUUCUGCAGUACCCCCAGCGAUUCCUUCAGCUUCUUCACAGGUCAGCAAAGAAGGUCCGUUGACUCAACACCUGGUCAGCUGCUCUCAUGUUCUCAACAAAAGCACCAAACUUAUGUGGAAGACCUUAAGUGGAUGCAAUUGUCACUGCAGUUGGAAGCCAAUCAACGCGUUGUGA